Molecule: non-coding RNA, 237 nt
Organism: Vicia faba (fava bean)
Lineage: Eukaryota; Viridiplantae; Streptophyta; Magnoliopsida; Fabales; Fabaceae
Source: the annotation of a GenBank genome assembly
AUGAAAAAUGCAAGAACCAACUUCUACUGCAUUCAGAGCACAGGACACCGGUAUGAAGGUGGACUCUGGAUAGACCGUCCAAAGCAGGAUUUUUAUAACAAUGAAAGACAUGUUACAAUAGUCACAACUACUGGUCUUCCUUGGGUGACGGGAACAGUUAUAAACCCAUUUUUUUCAGUUGCAUAUUUAUCACAAGGUCAGCCAUUUACCCUCUUGCCAUUUAACUUCCUUGUAUGA